This 450-nucleotide ribosomal RNA is filed under the name uncultured bacterium. RNAcentral describes it as "bacterial SSU rRNA". It matches the Rfam family "Bacterial small subunit ribosomal RNA", at positions 328 to 793 of the family's 1533-position model. The record is from RNAcentral.
GUACCAGACUCCUACGGGAGGCAGCAGUGGGGAAUAUUGCACAAUGGGGGAAACCCUGAUGCAGCGACGCCGCGUGAGUGAAGAAGUAUUUCGGUAUGUAAAGCUCUAUCAGCAGGGAAGAAGAAAGACGGUACCUGACUAAGAAGCCCCGGCUAACUACGUGCCAGCAGCCGCGGUAAUACGUAGGGGGCAAGCGUUAUCCGGAUUUACUGGGUGUAAAGGGAGCGUAGACGGAGAAGCAAGUCUGAAGUGAAAGCCCGUGGCUUAACCACGGGACUGCUUUGGAAACUGUUUGACCAGAGUGCUGGAGAGGUAAGUGGAAUUCCUAGUGUAGCGGUGAAAUGCGUAGAUAUUAGGAGGAACACCAGUGGCGAAGGCGGCUUACUGGACAGUAACUGACGUUGAGGCUCGAAAGCGUGGGGAGCAAACAGGAUUAGAUACCCGAGUACG